Long non-coding RNA from Fopius arisanus, 228 nucleotides. RefSeq lists it as uncharacterized. NCBI's taxonomy places the organism in Eukaryota, Metazoa, Arthropoda, Insecta, Hymenoptera, Braconidae. The transcript is spliced from 2 exons. The record is from RefSeq and is a predicted model, not a curated record.
CAGUCAAUCUAGCAAAGCAACCACAAAUCGAGGAGAAUAAAAAAGCAUUACAUAAACUGUCUGAGAAAGGCUGUGAGCUGCUGCGGAAAUUGAAGAAGAAUCGGAAAAAAUAGCUGAGAAAUUCCUAUCGGGAGAUACAGAAGUCGAUGAAUUCCUGGAUCAAUUCUUGACCCGAAGAAGGAUAAUGCAUUUACGAAAGGUGAAGGUAGACAAAAUGCGAGAGCUGAA